UGUCUUCUGUGGACUGUGUGGGC
RNAcentral lists this non-coding RNA (23 nucleotides) under Rattus norvegicus (Norway rat). Lineage: Eukaryota; Metazoa; Chordata; Mammalia; Rodentia; Muridae. The record is from RNAcentral.